ACCAGAGUGGACUUACCGCUGGUGUACCAGUUGUCUUGCCAAAGGCAUCGCUGGGUAGCUAUGUAGGGAAGGGAUAAACGCUGAAAGCAUCUAAGUGUGAAACCCACCUCAAGAUGAGAUUUCCCAUGAUUAUAUAUCAGUAAGAGCCCUGAGAGAUGAUCAGGUAGAUAGGUUAGAAGUGGAAGUGUGGCGACACAUGUAGCGGACUAAUACUAAUAGCUCGAGGACUUAUCCAA
This 236-nucleotide ribosomal RNA is filed under the name Streptococcus pneumoniae. RNAcentral describes it as "partial 23S ribosomal RNA". It matches the Rfam family "Bacterial large subunit ribosomal RNA", at positions 2691 to 2925 of the family's 2925-position model. The record is from RNAcentral. Lineage: Bacteria; Bacillati; Bacillota; Bacilli; Lactobacillales; Streptococcaceae.